This 924-nucleotide ribosomal RNA is filed under the name uncultured bacterium. RNAcentral describes it as "bacterial SSU rRNA". It matches the Rfam family "Bacterial small subunit ribosomal RNA", at positions 33 to 941 of the family's 1533-position model. The record is from RNAcentral.
ACGCUGGCGGCGUGCCUAAUACAUGCAAGUAGAACGCUGAAGGAGGAGCUUGCUUCUCCGGAUGAGUUGCGAACGGGCGAGUAACGCGUAGGUAACCUGCCUGGUAGCGGGGGAUAACUAUUGGAAACGAUAGCUAAUACCGCAUAAGAGUAGAUGUUGCAUGACAUUUGCUUAAAAGGUGCAAUUGCAUCACUACCAGAUGGACCUGCGUUGUAUUAGCUAGUUGGUGGGGUAACGGCUCACCAAGGCGACGAUACAUAGCCGACCUGAGAGGGUGAUCGGCCACACUGGGACUGAGACACGGCCCAGACCCCUACGGGAGGCAGCAGUAGGGAAUCUUCGGCAAUGGACGGAAGUCUGACCGAGCAACGCCGCGUGAGUGAAGAAGGUUUUCGGAUCGUAAAGCUCUGUUGUAAGAGAAGAACGAGUGUGAGAGUGGAAAGUUCACACUGUGACGGUAUCUUACCAGAAAGGGACGGCUAACUACGUGCCAGCAGCCGCGGUAAUACGUAGGUCCCGAGCGUUGUCCGGAUUUAUUGGGCGUAAAGCGAGCGCAGGCGGUUAGGUAAGUCUGAAGUUAAAGGCUAUGGCUUAACCAUAGUACGCUUUGGAAACUGUUUAACUUGAGUGCAAGAGGGGAGAGUGGAAUUCCAUGUGUAGCGGUGAAAUGCGUAGAUAUAUGGAGGAACACCGGUGGCGAAAGCGGCUCUCUGGCUUGUAACUGACGCUGAGGCUCGAAAGCGUGGGGAGCAAACAGGAUUAGAUACCCUGGUAGUCCACGCCGUAAACGAUGAGUGCUAGGUGUUAGACCCUUUCCGGGGUUUAGUGCCGCAGCUAACGCAUUAAGCACUCCGCCUGGGGAGUACGACCGCAAGGUUGAAACUCAAAGGAAUUGACGGGGGCCCGCACAAGCGGUGGAGCAUG